GGUUCUAGGGGCGGGGCCACAGGGGCACUGGCCCCUGCUGAAAUAUGAUUGGCCCCUGUAGUGCCCCUGUCCUGUCACUCAUCUGUCCUUUGUGCGGUGAUGAGAUUAUAGGUGGAUGCAAUUCCGAGUCCAAACACUAGUGGCCGUGUGGCGCUAAGGAGCAAAAUAGUGUGUGAAAUCCAACAGAAGAAGAUUUGAAAGAUUCCAAGAAGGGAGAACUUUUCAACCGACAUCGGAUCUGAUGAGAGUCCACGUUAUGAGGAGUUUGUUGCUGCAAACUGGGACAAGACUCUCUCCAAUUUAGACAACCAGAGUGAAGUUAAUGACUCAACCUUCCAUCCUGCUGGGCUACCAGAGUCACCAAUCAAUACUAAUCCUGCAGGAUCAAAUGACAUCUUCCAGUGUGAUGCACAGAAUCCUGCGCAGACAUCAGAACGGUGUUCUGUUCCAGUAGGACCUGGUGGUGUGCUUCUCAUUUUACAUUUCCCAGUCAAGAGCAGAGGGUCCUGUGAUAUUCUUCUGGUGUUUUUUCCACACACAAACAUAUUUUAACCUGAUAUUUGUGGCUUUGCAAAAUAAAUUGAAUGCUAAAAUUUCUCAAA
Non-coding RNA from Nothobranchius furzeri (turquoise killifish), 602 nucleotides. The record is from RefSeq and is a predicted model, not a curated record. Lineage: Eukaryota; Metazoa; Chordata; Actinopteri; Cyprinodontiformes; Nothobranchiidae.